Non-coding RNA from Cinara cedri, 318 nucleotides. The record is from the annotation of a GenBank genome assembly. NCBI's taxonomy places the organism in Eukaryota, Metazoa, Arthropoda, Insecta, Hemiptera, Aphididae.
AAAUUUGUAUUUGACAAAGUUGUGUUCUUAUUAAAUGACAUAACUUAAUUAUUUAAGUAUUAUUUGGUGGUUUUCCGUUUCAUACACGAAAUUAAGUUCCUACGCUUAACAAAAGAUGCACUGUUUCAAACAUUUAGUAACUUGUUUGUUUUUCAUUCAACUGUGUAUAGAGUUUAGAGGGGACUUUAGUUCCUUGUUUAGUCUUUUAUCAAAUGUAUUCUUGCGAUUAAGGUUGUAUACAGCUAUAUAGGUACAAUAUAUAGAAUAAAUAUAAUUUGUGUCAUUAAUCAUGUUAGUGUACACAAAAAUGACAUGGAA